UCGUUCACCCUUCAGCCGACUGCCUAACUUCCCAUGACAAAGAGACAGAACUUUCCCAAAACUACAUUCUCAAAGAGGAGACAGAAAUUGAUGAGCUUGAAGAUUCCAACAGCGACCACAUUGUUCAUACUGAACUUUGACCUGCCCCCUAAUGAAAUUAAAAUAUCCUCAUUAAUUAAAGUAAUAUACUAAACUGGGUAAAUGGAAAGUAUAGUAUACAAGUAGAGAUUUCUUGGAGGAGGUUUGAGGUGCCCCUGUUAAAUAUUUUGGGAAUUUACUGAUAUUCCAUACAUAGUUACAGACCAACAGCAGUAGAAAGCAAUUAUGCAGUUGGAAAUUUUAAAAAUUAUAGUACUUCUGUAAAUAUUUUAAUUAUCACAUGUGUCUGUAUUAUUUGGAUGUUUGUCGUAAUUUGAAGUUGGAACAAUUCUAGUGAUUUCUCAUAGCUUAAAGAAACUGGUAUUACAGUGCAGUCUUCUCUUGAGCAAGUUCUUACAGGGAUAAAGAAUUGAUCGAAUACUGUAAAUUGAUCAUGUUGGUUUCAAAUCAAAAGCCUGUACCGUAUGUCAAUCCCCUCUUCAGAGCUCUGCACACAUACUGAAGAGAAUCGCCGACAAGCAAAAUGAUUGGCCUUCCAAAUCCCACAAACAACCAUGAUUUUGUUAUAGAAUACUAGCUAUUUGAGUAGCACUUCGUAAUAGGUUGGAUAAUAUUUUUUUUCGAAUAUAUUUUUGGAUAUAAAAAUGUAAUAUUUUGAAUAUAAAGACAUAGGAAAAGGCUAUAGAGCCCUUGAAGGCUUAGAUGCAGGAAUAAAUGAAUAAGGGGUAUAGUAGUAAUUGAAUAAAGAGAUGAUAAAUAUAAAUAGAAAGAAGAAAAAAGAAGAAGAAGGGAUCUGAAUAUUUUGAGAGAGCAAACCGUGGGAGAGAAGGGAGAAAGAAGAAGAAGAAGAGAAAAGAGGGAAAUUAGAAGGGAAAUAGAAAGGAGUUGAAGAAAUAAGUUUAAAGGUAAGAUUUAGGUUGUUAAAUGUAUAAAUGUAUGUUAAUUGAACUUUAAUUUCAGUUUUGAUGAAUGUUAGGGUUUUGAAAAUUUGUGUUUUGGGUUUGAUUGAUGAGUUAACUUAAAUGUUAUAGGGUUAAUUGUUGAGGGUAUUUGAUUAUUUGGUUGAUUUUGAGAGAUUGAAUUGAAAGACCUAGGUUUUGAUUUUGAGUUAUGAUUUUGUUUGAAUGGUGAAUUUGUGUUAGAAAUGUGGAGAGAACAGUAGGUUUUCUGUUAAAAUUCUGGGUUUGAGGUUGAAGAUGACAAAAUUUCGGUUUGGUCCCUCAAUUUGUGGAAAUUACAGUUUAGUCCCCAAACUCUGGAAAAUUUACAGAUUGGUCCCUGGAGCAUAUUCCGAGAUUCUUAACAGAAUAAAAGAUGAAUUAUGGGCAUAAUUCCUGUAUAGUUAUGAAAUUUUAACACUUUCAAUUUAGUCCUUCAAUUUGACAAAAAUUACAAUUUGACCCUAAAAAUUUGGUAAAAUUCCAGAAUGGUCCCUGGAGUAUAAUGAGAUAUUCUGGACAGAAUUGAGGAUUAAUUAUGGUCAGAAUUUCAGUAUAGUAAUGGAUUUAUGAUAAUUUUAGUUUGGUCCUCCAAAUGGACAAAGUUACAUUUUGACCCUUAAAAAAAUAUGAUAAAUUACAGAUUGGUCCCUAGCUGUAAUAUUAGCUUGUGCAGUUUGGUUUGAUGAAUAAUUGAGGGUUAUUUAGUGAAUUAUUACCAAUUUUAUUAUUUGUUUUAUUAUGGAUUAGAUUUCGGGAAAACCGUUAAAUGUUGGGUUUUUAGGAAAAAUAACUAGUUAGUUCAAAAACAUAUAGGGUUAUGGAAUACACCCUUAGAUAAGUGUAUUAAAUAGGUUAUAUGUUCUUUCAAGUCGUUCUUGAAUAUGUCUCCUUUGUAUUCAGAUAAUCCUGAUAUUCUACCAGCGGGACGUCAGUAGAAUUUUCUUCGGUGUCUGCUUUUGACUUCUGUUUGCUUUCGAGUCAGGUGAGUGGAUAAUUUUCCAUAUGCAUGAGAAAUAUUAUAAAUAUUUGAUUUGUUAAUAUGAAUUGGAUCAUGCUUCUUGAUAAUAUAUAUGUUGAUUAUUAUCCUUGUUAUGAUAAGCAUGAUCAAUUGUUGAAUCCGAAUUAUUGAUAUGAACCAGUAUAUAUAUUCUGAAUUGACUUCUGAAUUGAUAGCUCCUCAUUUGAUUGAUGUCAUGAGUUGAGCCUUGAGAUAUGAAUAUGUCUGUUUGAUUAUGAUUAUGAAACUAUGGUAUGUCAAUCAAAAUACCCAUGCUAACAGGGUAGUGUUAGUCUUUGUGCACAUCGUAUCUGAACCCUAGUUGGUCGGGGGAGUCACCAACCUGUGUGGACUGAUCAUUCCACAGUACGGAGCCUCAUGCUCAUUGCAUUUUGAUUUUCUGAUAAGUUUUACCAUAUGAUCUUCUUGUUAUGGCCUAUUUGAGAAACCUUCCUAUAAAAACCUAGAGCCAUAAUUGUAUAUAUAUUCUCAUUGUUGUAUUACCUCGUGUGUGUGUAUUGAACGUUAUCUACUCACUGAGUUGUUGAACUCACCCUCUCAUUAUUUACCUUUUCAGGCUUAUAGCUUGAUAGUAGGUCACUUUUGUUGGAUCUUCAGAACCUGCUUUUUUGGUAGUAAUUUAUACCUUUCUUUAUAUCUAGUUAGGGCUCCAAAACUGUGAAAUUAUAUGAACUCUUGUAUUAAGACAAUCAAAUUAUAUUAUGAAGUUAAUUUUGUUACUAAAACUGCGUUGAACUCUGAUUGAGUUAGGAGAAGUUUGUGUGUAAGUUUGGGUUCGCAUAGGUAUGGAACCUUGGAGAGGAACCUUGCCUAUGUACCGGUAAUGGAUCCGGGAUUUGAGUCGUGACAAACUUGGUAUCACAGCUUUAGGUUAAAGAAACAAUAGUAUAGUUAAUUUCAUAAUAAGUGGAGCAUUAGGAUCCGUAUUGUCUUGUUUGUUGGCUUUGAAAUUUUGAAUUCUCAUCAAGCAUGUCUUCUUCCUUGUGAUAUAUAUGUUUUCCUAUAAUUCUGUGAUAAUUAUCAUGCUAUUGUUCUAGCAUGACUUGAGUGCUCUCACUUUUAUUUUAGGAAAUGCCGAGGAAUAAACGAAUAGCUGAUACUAUUAGAUUAGAGGAUGAUCAGGAUGAUGUCCUUAUUGUGCAGUUUAGAAAUGCAAGGUAUAGGAGUAGGGGAAAUACAUCCACACCUAAACAUAUUCUUAUUGUUUGCUCUUUUGAAGCAAAAAUUUUGUUUGAUACUAGUGCAACCCAUUCAUUUGUGUCCCCAUAUUUUGCCAUAAGGUUAGAUAAACAACCAACCUUGUUAAAAUCCUCAAUUUCAGUCUCCACUUCCUUAGAUGAAUUAAUAUUAGUGAAGUAUGUGUAUCUAGAUUGUGAAAUAGAGAUUGGAGAUAAGAUCUUUAUGGGAGACUUAAAUGUCUUAGAUAUGGUUGAUUUUGAUGUGAUUUUGGGAAUGGAUUGGUUGGCAAAGCAUAGGGCUUCGGUAAAUUGUUGGGGUAAGAAAAUAAUGUUUGAUCUAGAUGAAGAAGUUGAGUUGGUAUUUCAAGGAGAUAAGAUUGGGUCUCCAUCAAUUAUGUUAUUGGCUAUCUCGAGGAAAAUGGCUCGAAAAGGGGUACAAUACUACCUAGCAUAUAGAAUGGCACCAGCAGAAUUGAGGGAGCUAAAGGAGCAACUGCAGGAUUUGUUGGAUAAAAAGUUCAUCCGACCGAGUGUGUCCCCUUGGGGAGCCCUAGUGUUGUUUGUGAAGAAGAAAGAUGGGUCAUUGAGGUUGUGUAUAGAUUAUAGGCAACUGAAUCGGGUGACAGUUCGAAAUAGAUAUCCACUCCUCAUAUGGAUGAUUUGUUUGACCAAUUGCAGGGAGCUCAAUUCUUUUCUAAGAUUGAUCUUCGAUUUGGGUAUCAUCAGUUGAGGAUUAGGGAGGCAGACAUUUUAAAGACAGCUUUUAGAACUCGAUAUGGUCAUUAUGAGUUCUUAGUGAUGUCUUUUGGGUUCACGAAUGCGCCAACACCUUUUAUGGAUUUGAUGAAUAGAGUGUUUGGACAGUUUAUUGAUCGAUUUGUGAUAGUUUUUAUUGAUGAUAUUUUGGUGUAUUCGAGGUCUAGAGAGGAGCAUGAGCAGCACUUGAGAAUGGUGCUUCAAACUCUACGAGAUCAUCAGUUGUAUGACAAGUUCUCAAAGAGUGAGUUUUGGUUGGAGAAUGUAGAAUUUCUUGGGCACGUAGUGUCAAGGAAUGGGAUUGAGGUUGAUCCUCAAAAGAUUGAAGCAGUUAAGCAGUGGCUUAGGCCUACUUCGGCGACAGAGAUUAGAAGUUUUUUAGGUUUGGCCGGCUACUAUCGGAGGUUUGUGGAGAACUUUUCUCGGAUUUCUACACCAUUGACUAAGUUAACGCAGAAAAAUGUUAAGUUUCAGUGGUUUGAAGCUUGUGAGAAAAGUUUCUUAGAGUUGAAAGAGAGAUUGACUACAACGCCUAUUCUAGCAGUACCACCAGGUUCUGGUGGUUACACAGUGUAUUGUGAUGCUUCGAGAGUGGGGUUAGGAUGUGUUCUAAUGCAGCAUGGCAAGGUUAUUGCUUAUGCUUCACGGCAGCUGAAGAAGCAUGAACAUAACUAUCCUACACAUGAUUUAGAGAUGGCGGCUGUAAUUUUUGCCUUGAAGAUUUGGGGGCACUACUUGUAUGGUGAAACUUGUGAGAUAUUCAGAGAUCACAAGAGUUUGAAGUACAUCUUUCAGCAGAGGGAUCUAAAUCUGAGGCAGAGGGGAUGGAUGGAACUGCUGAAGAAUUAUGAUUGUACCAUACAGUACCACCCGGGUAAGGCAAAUGUAGUUGCCGAUGCUUUGAGUAGAAAAUCAUCGGGAAGAUUAGCUCAUAUUCAGGAGGUACGAAGACCUUUGAUUAGGGAGCUGCAUGAGUUAGUAGAUGAAGGAGUCAGAUUUGAUCUUAGUGAAGCUGGAGCAAUUAUUGCUCAUUUUCAGGUUAAGUCAAAUUUAUUUGAUACGAUAAAAGCAGUUCAGAAGAAAGAUAAUUCACUACUCAGGAUCAGAAAUGAGGUUGAGCAGGGUAAGGCUGUAGGUUUUGUGAUAGGUGAUGAUGAUGUGCUGAGAUAUAGAGAUAGGUUCUAUGUACCUGAUGUAGAUGAUCUGAGGAGAGAAUUGAUGGUAGAGGCACAUCAGACGGUUUACACAAUGCAUCUAGGUUCCACCAAGAUGUAUAAAGACCUUAAGGUGUGUUAUUGGUGGAAUAGGAUGAAGGCUGAUGUAGCAGACUUUGUUUCUAGGUGUUUGACUUGUCAGAGGGUAAAAGGUGAACACCAGAAACCUCUUGGAUUGUUGCAACCAUUGUUGAUUCCAGAAUGGAAGUGGAAAAUGAUCACAAUGGACUUUAUGACAGGAUUGCCUAGGAGUCAGGAGGGUUAUGAUUCGAUAUGGGCGAUUGUUGACAGGUUGACAAAAUCAGCCCAUUUUCUGCCAGUUAAGAUUACUUAUGGAUAUGCAAAGUUAGCGGAAUUGUUUAUUAGUGAGAUUGUACGGUUGCAUGGAGUGCCAAUCUCGAUAGUGUCUGAUAGAGGUCCACAAUUUACAUCGCGGUUUUGGGUGAAAUUCCAAGAAGCUAUGGGUACUAAAGUGCAGUUGAGUACAGCUUUUCACCCUCAGACUGAUGGUCAGUCUGAGAGGACUAUUCAGAUCUUAGAUAUGUUAAGGGCUUGUGUUAUGGAUUUUGGAGUUGGUUGGAGUAAGUUCCUACCAUUAGUGGAAUUUGCUUACAACAACAGUUAUCAGGCUAGCAUAGAAAUGGCACCUUAUGAGGCUUUGUAUGGUCGGAAGUGUAGAUCGCUGGUUUGUUGGUUUGAGGUUGGUGAGAAGAGGCUAAUGGGACCAGAGUUGAUUCAGAUUACCUCAGAGAAGAUAGAGGUAAUUAGAAAGAAGCUUCAAACAGCUCAGAGUAGACAAAAGAGUUACGCAGAUAGAAGAAUGCGUGACUUAGAGUUUUCAAUGGGUGAUUGUGUGUUCUUAAAAGUAUCACUGACUAAAAGAGUAUUCAAGUUUGGGAAGAAAGGCAAGUUGAGUCAUUGAUUCAUUGGACCGUAUGAGAUUAUAGAGAGAGAUGAGGCAGUUGCUUAUAGGUUAGUAUUACCACCAAACUUGUCUACUAUCCAUCCGGUAUUUCAUGUUUCCAUGCUAAGGAAGUAUAUGACAGAUUCAUCGCAUGUGUUAGAAGUUCAUCCUGUUGAAUUGAGGGAUGAUAUGGUUUAUGAGGUGCAACCAGAAGCUAUAGUCGACCGACAAGUGAGGAAGCUUAGGUCGAAGGAUAUAGCUUCAGAGAAAGUGAAAUGGAAAGGUCAUUUAUGUGAGGAAGCGACAUGGGAGCUCGAGGAUAAGAUGCGUGAGGAGUAUCCUCAUCUUUUCGAUAAUCUCGGUAAGUAUUCAAUCUUUUCUAUUAAGUUUCGAGGACGAAACUUUUAUAAGUUGGGGAGAUUGUAAUGUUUUGAAUUAAAGAGUGGGUAUAAAUGAAUGAGGGGUAGUGUGGUAAUUAGAUAAACAUAAUAAAUAUAAAUAGAAAAAAAAAGACAUAGUAAAAGGCUAUAGAGCCCUUGAAGGCUUAGAUGCAAGAAUAAAUGAAUGAGGGGUAUAGUAGUAAUUGAAUAAAGAGAUGAUAAAUAUAAAUAGAAAGAAGAAAAAAGAAGAAGAAGAUAUCUAAAUAUUUUGAGAGAGCAAACCGUGGGAGAGAAGGGAGAAAGAAGAAGAAGAAGAGAAAAGAGGGAAAUUAGAAGGGAAAUAGAAAGGAGUUGAAGAAAUAAGUUUAAAGGUAAGAUUUAGGUUGUUAAAUGUAUAAAUGUAUGUUAAUUGAACUUUAAUUUCAGUUUUGAUGAAUGUUAGGGUUUUGAAAAUUUGUGUUUUGGGUUUGAUUGAUGAGUUAACUUAAAUGUUAUAGGGUUAAUUGUUGAGGGUAUUUGAUUAUUUGGUUGAUUUUGAGAGAUUGAAUUGAAAGACCUAGGUUUUGAUUUUGAGUUAUGAUUUUGUUUGAAUGGUGAAUUUGUGUUAGAAAUGUGGAGAGAACAGUAGGUUUUCUGUUAAAAUUCUGGGUUUGAGGUUGAAGAUGACAAAAUUUCGGUUUGGUCCCUCAAUUUGUGGAAAUUACAGUUUAGUCCCCAAACUCUGGAAAAUUUACAGAUUGGUCCCUGGAGCAUAUUCCGAGAUUCUUAACAGAAUAAAAGAUGAAUUAUGGGCAUAAUUCCUGUAUAGUUAUGAAAUUUUAACACUUUCAAUUUAGUCCUUCAAUUUGACCCUAAAAAUUUGGUAAAAUUCCAGAAUGGUCCCUGGAGUAUAAUGAGAUAUUCUGGACAGAAUUGAGGAUUAAUUAUGGUCAGAAUUUCAGUAGAGUAAUGGAUUUAUGACAAUUUUAGUUUGGUCCUCCAAAUGGACAAAGUUACAUUUUGACCCUUAAAAAAAUAUGAUAAAUUACAGAUUGGUCCCUAGCUGUAAUAUUAGCUUGUGCAGUUUGGUUUGAUGAAUAAUUGAGGGUUAUUUAGUGAAUUAUUACCAAUUUUAUUAUUUGUUUUAUUAUGGAUUAGAUUUCGGGAAAACCGUUAAAUGUUGGGUUUUUAGGAAAAAUAACUAGUUAGUUCAAAAACAUAUAGGGUUAUGGAAUACACAAUUAGAUCCCUCUUCUCUUUUUUUUCUUCUAUUUAUAUUUAUUAUGUUUAUCUAAUUACCACACUACCCCUCAUUCAUUUAUACCCACUCUUUAAGCCUUCAAGGGCUUUACUGCCUUUUCCUAACUCUUUUAAUUCAAAACAUUACAAUCUCCCCACCUUAUAAAAGUUUCGUCUUUGAAACUUAAUAGAAAAGAUUGAAUACUUAACGAGAUUAUCGAAAAGAUGAGGAUACUCCUCACGCAUCUUAUCCUCGAGCUCCCAGGUCAUUUCCUCACGUGAAUGACCUUUCCAUUUCACUUUCACUGAAGCUAUAUCCUUCGACCUAAGCUUCCUCACUUGUCGGUCGACUAUAGCUUUCGGUUGCACCUCAUAAACCAUAUCAUCCCUCAAUUCAACAGGAUGAACUUCUAACACAUGCGAUGGAUCUGUCAUAUACUUCCUUAGCAUGGAAACAUGAAAUACCGGAUGGAUAGCAGACAAGUUUGGUGGUAAUACUAACCUAUAAGCAACUGCCUCAUCUCUCUCUAUAAUCUCAUACGGUCCAAUGAAUCGAUGACUCAACUUGCCUUUCUUCCCAAACUUGAAUACUCUUUUAGUCAGUGAUACUUUUAAGAACACACAAUCACCCAUUGAAAACUCUAAGUCACGCAUUCUUCUAUCUGCGUAACUCUUUUGUCUACUCUGAGCUGUUUGAAGCUUCUUUCUAAUUACCUCUAUCUUCUCUGAGGUAAUCUGAAUCAACUCUGGUCCCAUUAGCCUCUUCUCACCAACCUCAAACCAACAAACCAGCGAUCUACACUUCCGACCAUACAAAGCCUCAUAAGGUGCCAUUUCUAUGCUAGCCUGAUAACUGUUGUUGUAAGCAAAUUCCACUAAUGGUAGGAACUUACUCCAACCAACUCCAAAAUCCAUAACACAAGCCCUUAACAUAUCCUUCAAGAUCUGAAUAGUCCUCUCAGACUGACCAUCGGUCUGAGGGUGAAAAGUUGUACUUAACUGCACUUUAGUACCCAUAGCUUCUUGGAAUUUCACCAAAAACCGCGAUGUAAACUGUGGACCUCUAUCAGACACUAUCGAGAUUGGCACUCCAUGCAAUCGUACAAUCUCACUAAUAAACAAUUCCGCCAACUUUGCAUAUCCAUAAGUAAUCUAACUGGCAGAAAAUAGGUUGAUUUUGUCAACCUGUCAACAAUCAUCCAUAUCGAAUCAUAACCCUCCUGACUUCUAGGCAAUCCUGUCACAAAGUCCAUUGUGAUCCUUUCCCACUUCCAUUCUGGAAUCAACAAUGGUUGCAACAAUCCAAGAGGUUUCUGGUGUUCACCCUUUACCCUCUGACAGGUCAAACACCUAGAAACAAAGUCUGCUACAUCAGCCUUCAUCCUAUUCCACCAAUAACACACCUUAAGGUCUUUAUACAUCUUGGUGGAACCUAGAUGCAUUGUGUAAACUGUCUGAUGUGCCUUUACCAUCAAUUCUCUCCUCAGAUCAUCUACAUCAGGUACACAAGGCCUAUCCCUAUAUCUCAGCACAUCAUCAUCACCUAUCACAAAACCUGCAGCCUUACCCUGCUCAACCUCAUUUCUGAUCCUGAGUAGUGAAUCAUCUUUAUUCUGAGCUGCUUUUAUCUUAUCAAACAAAUUUGACUUAACCUGAAAUUUGACUCCUUCAUCCACAAACUCAUGCAACUUAACAUUUUUCUGCGUUAACUUAGUCAAUGGUGCAGAAAUCCGAGAAAAGUUCUCCACAAACCUCCGAUAGUAGCCGGCCAAACCUAAGAAACUUCUAAUCUCUGUCGCCGAAGUAGGCCUAAGCCACUGCUUAACUGCUUCAAUCUUUUGAGGAUCAACCUCAAUCUCAUUCCUUGACACUACGUGCCCAAGAAAUGCUACACUCUCCAACCAAAACUCACUCUUUGAGAACUUGCCAUACAACUGAUGAUCUCGUAGAGUUUGAAGCACCAUUCUCAAGUGCUGCUCAUGCUCCUCUCUAGACCUCGAAUACACCAAAAUAUCAUCAAUAAAAACUAUCACAAAUCGAUCAAUAAACUGUCCAAACACUCUAUUCAUCAAAUCCAUAAAAGGUGUUGGCGCAUUCGUGAACCCAAAAGACAUCACUAAGAACUCAUAAUGACUAUAUCGAGUUCUAAAAGCUGUCUUUAAAAUGUCUGCCUCCCUAAUCCUCAACUGAUGAUACCCAAAUCGAAAAUCAAUCUUAGAAAAGAAUUGAGCUCCUUGCAAUUGGUCAAAUAAAUCAUCUAUACGAGGGAGUGGAUAUCUAUUUCGAACUGUCACCCGAUUCAGUUGCCUAUAAUCUAUACACAACCUUAAUGACCCAUCUUUCUUCUUCACAAACAACACUAGGGCUCCCCAAGGGGACACACUCGGUCGGAUGAACUUUUUAUCCAACAAAUCCUGCAGUUGCUCCUUUAGCUCCCUCAAUUCUGCUGGCGCCAUUCUUUAUGCUAGGUAGCAUUGUACCCCUUUUCGAGCCAUUUUCCUCGAGAUAGCCAACAACAUAAUUGAUGGAGACCCAAUCUUAUCUCCUUGAAAUACCAACCCAACUUCUUCAUCUAGAUCAAACAUUAUUUUCUUACCCCAACAAUUUACCGAAGCCAUUUAAGUCUCCCAUAAAGAUCUUAUCUCCAAUCUCUAUUUCACAAUCCAGAUACACAUACUUUACUAAUAUUAAUUCAUCUAAGGGAGUGGAGACUGAAAUUGAGGAUUUUAACAAGGUUGGUUGUUUAUCUAAUCUCAUGAAAAAAAAAUGUAAGGACAGUAACAAAUGAGUUGCACCCAUAUUAAAUAAUAUUUUUGCUUCAAAAGAUCGAACAAUAAGAAUAUGUUGAGGUGCGGAUGUACUGCCCCACCUCUUAUACCUUGCAUUUCUAAACUACACAAUAGAGGCAUCAUCUUUAUUGUCAUUUACUCUAAUAGUACCAAAGAAAAAUGUGAAUUUGACGGGUUGUUUUCUAACAAUUAAUCAUACAAAUUAAUAAAUAAAAUUCACAAAAGAGAUUAGCCUAUUCCUCGAAUUCACAAUUCAAUUAGAUGCGAAAUCUAACCUCCUCCUUUUCGUACUUGUAGAAUAAUAGUUUUUUGUUGAAAUCCUUUUUAUAUGUAUGUUCCUCGGCAUAUCCUCUAAGAAAUGAGAGCAUUUAAGUCAUGCUAGAACAAUAACAUGAUAAUUAUCACAUAAUUAUAGGAAAUCAUAUCUAUCACAAGGAAGAAGACAUGCUUGAUGAGAAUUCAAAAUUUCAAAAACAACAAACAAAACAAUACGGAUCCUAAUGCUCUACUUCUUACGAAAUUAAUUAUAUUAUUGUUUCUUUAACCUAAAGCUCUGAUACCAAGUUUGUCACGACCCGAUUCCCGGAUCCAUUACCGGCACAUAAGCAAGGUUCCCCUCCAAGGUUCCAUACCUAUGCGAACCCAAACUUAUAUACAAACUUAUCUAUUAAAUAACUCAAUCAGAGUUCAACGAAGCAAUAACAACAAAACUAACUUUAUAAUAUAAUUCGAUUGUCUUAAUACAAGAGUUCAUAUAAAUUUAGAGUUUGGGAGCACUAACUAGACAUAAAGGGAAAUGUAUAAAUUACAACAAAAAGAACAAGUUCUGAAGGUCCAAUAAAAGUGACAUGCUAUCAAGCUAUAAGCCUGAAAAGGAUAAAUAAUGAGAGGGUGAGUUCAACAACUCAGUGAGUAGAUAAUGUUCAAUAUACACAACGAGAUAAUAUAAUAAUGAGAAUAUAUAUACAAUUAUGGCUCUAGGUUCUUAUAUGAAGGUUUCUCAAAUAGGCCAUAACAAGAAAAUCAGAAGGUAAAGCUCGUCAGAAAAUCAAAAUGCAAUGAGCAUGAGGCUCCGUACUGUGGGAUGAUCAGUCCACACAGGUUGGUGACUCCCCCGACCAACUAGGGUUCAGAUACGAUGUGCAUAAAGACUAACACUACCCUGUUAGCAUGGGUAUUCUGACUGGCAUACCAUAGGUUCAUAAUCAUAAUCAAACAGACAUAUUCAUAUCUCAAGGCUCAACUCAUGACAUCAAUCAAAUGAGGAGCUAUCAAUUCAAAAUAUAUACUGGUUCAUAUCAAGAAUUCAAAUUCAACAAUUAAUCAUGCUUUAUCAAAACAAGGAUAAUAAUCAACAUAUAUAUUAUCAAGAAGCAUGAUCCAAUUCAUAUUAACAAAUCAAAUAUUUAUAAUAUUUCUCAUGCAUAUGGAAAAUUAUCCACUCACCAAACUCGAAAGCAAACAGAAGUCAAAAGCAGAUACCAAAGGAAAUCCUAAUGGCGUCCCGCCGGUAGAAUAUCAGGAUUAUCUAAAUACAAAGGAGACAUAUUCAAGAAUGACUCAAAAGAACAUAUAACCUAUUUAAUACACUUAUCUAAAGGUAUAUUCCAUAACUCUAUAUGUUUUUGAACUAAAUUAGUUAUCUUCCUAAAAACCCAAAAUUAAACGGUUUUCCCGAAAUCUAAUCCAUAAUAAAACAAAUAAUAAAAUUGGUAAUAAUUCACUAAAUAACCCACAAUUAUUCAUCAAACCAAUCUGCAAAAGCUAAUAUUACAGCUAGGGACCAAUCUGUAAUUUAUCAUAUUUUUAAGGGUCAAAUUGUAACUUUGUCAAAUUGGAGGACCAAACUAAAAUUGUCAUAAAUCCAUGACUAUACUGAAAUUAUGACCAUAAUUAAUCAUCAUUUCUGUCCAGAAUAUCUCAUUAUGCUCUAGGGACCAUUCUGGAACUUUACCAAAUUUUUAGGGUCAAAUGGUAAUUUUUAUCAAAUUGAAGGACUAAAUUGAAAGUGUUAAAAUUUCAUAACUAUACAGGAUUCUGCCCAUAAUUCAUCUUUUAUUCUAUUCAGAAUCUCGGAAUAGGCUCCAGGGACCAAUCUGUAAAUUUUCCAAAGUUUGGGGACUAAACUAUAAUUUCCACAAAUUGAGGGACCAAUUUGAAUUUUUGUCAUCUUCAACCUUCAACCCAGAAUUUCAACAGAAAACCCACUGUUCUUUCCUGAUUUCUAACACAAAUUCACCAUUCAAACAAAAUCAUAACUCAAAAUCAUCAUAAUCUUCCAUAAUCAACUAAAUAAUCAAUUACCCACAACAAUCAACCCCAUAACAUUCAAUUUAAUUCAUCAAUUAAACUCAAAACAUAAAUUUUCAAAACCCUAACAUUCAUCAAAAUUGAAAUUAAAGUUCAAUUAACAUAUAUUUAUACAUUUAACAACCUAAAUCUUACCUUUAAACUUAUUUCUUCAAUACCUUUCUAUUUCCCUUCUAAUUUCCCUCUUUUCUCUUCUUCUUCUUCUUUCUCCCUUCUCUCUCACGGUUUGCU
RNAcentral lists this long non-coding RNA (13038 nucleotides) under Populus trichocarpa (black cottonwood). Its description in RNAcentral is "long non-coding RNA (PTRI_LNC000513)". The record is from RNAcentral. Lineage: Eukaryota; Viridiplantae; Streptophyta; Magnoliopsida; Malpighiales; Salicaceae.